CCUACGGGUGGCAGCAGUGAGGAAUAUUGGUCAAUGGACGAGAGUCUGAACCAGCCAAGUAGCGUGAAGGAUGACUGCCCUAUGGGUUGUAAACUUCUUUUAUAUGGGAAUAAAAUGUUCCACGUGUGGGAUUUUGUAUGUACCAUAUGAAUAAGGAUCGGCUAACUCCGUGCCAGCAGCCGCGGUAAUACGGAGGAUCCGAGCGUUAUCCGGAUUUAUUGGGUUUAAAGGGAGCGUAGGUGGAUUGUUAAGUCAGUUGUGAAAUUUUGCGGCUCAAACGUAAAAUUGCAGUUGAAACUGGCAGUCUUGAGUACAGUAGAGGUGGGCGGAAUGCGUGGUGUAGCGGUGAAAUGCAUAGAUAUCACGAAGAACUCCGAUUGCGAAGGCAGCUCACUGGACUGCAACUGACACUGAGGCUCGAAAGUGUGGGUAUCAAACAGGAUUAGAUACCCGGGUAGUC
RNAcentral lists this ribosomal RNA (460 nucleotides) under uncultured bacterium. RNAcentral's name for it is "partial 16S ribosomal RNA". It matches the Rfam family "Bacterial small subunit ribosomal RNA", at positions 338 to 795 of the family's 1533-position model. The record is from RNAcentral.